Vombatus ursinus (common wombat) is the source of this 96-nucleotide microRNA precursor. The record is from Ensembl. Lineage: Eukaryota; Metazoa; Chordata; Mammalia; Diprotodontia; Vombatidae.
AGGCAGCAAGAAAAAUGAGGGACUUUCAGGGGCAGCUGUGUUUUAUUAACUCAGUCAUAAUGCCCCUAAAAAUCCUUAUUGUUCUUGCAAUGUUCA